CUCUGAUGAAGCAUUUCUAACUAUUGACGGUGAAUGAGCAGGAGAAAACCAAGCACGGGGCUUCCAGUGAAAUAUCCCAUCUCUUACUUGGUUGCUUUCUCCUCCUCUUCAAAGCAGGGCAAAAAUAUCAGCUCAAAUCUACUUUAUCAGUUUCACAGAUUUACAGACUUCAAUAGAUCUUUUAUAUUCUGUUUGGUAAUGAGCAUCACAAACAGAUCCUACAGUUAAGCUGGCAAAUAGGAAUAAAAAGAGACACAACUAAUUAGAGGAGAAUCAUAAAGGAGUUUUAAAUCCAGGCAAAAGAAGGGUGGAAAUUAGAAACCUUACCCAGACUUCUGUGUUUACUGAGCUUCCUAAAAGGCAUAGGAAAGUUGGGAUUCUGUGUGUUUCAGAAUUUUCUGUUGGCUUGAGACAGCAGAGGGGAGGGCAAGACAUUUUUGCUUUGGCUGUGGGUGCUGUUUUAAGCCGAGGAUUAUUUUCCCUAAGACUCAAAUCUUCCACAGUCCUGGUCUGCCGGAUGUACGUCUCCCUCCGCUGCUGUCCGCUACGAUAGUGUGUUUAACACCAGUGCCACAGAGAGAAGCUUCAGCUGCUCUUGUCCCUUCUGCUGUUACAGCUGUGUUUUGUGAGGGAGCCCAGCCAGGUCCCUGUGCAGUAUCGCAGUCGCGCACCUCCGUAGCUUCCUGCUACUGGCUGUUCACCCCUCUGAUCCGUCCCUUCUCUUCCACCGACCUGCAUCCUUACGGACGCAAAGUCUCUCUCUCGCACCUUGAGGAUGUGGAAUAAGAGCACGCAGCAAAGGGCAGAGAGACGGUCUCCGAGAAGGAGGGAGAGGAAUGGGCGGCUGCGUUCAGUGCCAGCGGUGGAGGAAGCGAGAUGGCAGAGGAACGUGUGUCAGUACCUACGGCAUCUUUCCGCACGUCUUUCAGAUAUGAUGGCUCUUCUGAAGAUGAGAUGUUGCAGAGUUUGCACUGGCGAGAAAGAAACCUAAGGACAGCUCCAUAUUCCUUAGUCAUCUGGUUACAAAUGAGAGUGCCAAAAAGGAACAGGAUUAUAAUUGCUAUUUAUAGAAGCUGGAGAACAAAAGCAGUAUCUUUCUAAAAUCCAGCUUUACUUGAGUUUUAUUUCCUCAUCUCUCCCCAAAAGAGUGUCAAGAUGAAAGUAACUUCGUGAAUUUGAGGAAUGAUAUCUGCAUUUUUCGGAGUAAGUGCUAGGCUGUGAGGUUUUUUCCUUUUAGAAAUUAAUCUGUUGUUUCCUUCAGUGGAUGUUAGGCUCUUGUUUUACUGUAACAUUUAAUACAGCACACUGCAAAAAGGCAGGCGGGAGAGAAGACGUGGUGCUUUAAGAGCAUGAAUAUUUAGCCCUUCAUCACACCAUCUCUUCUGAAGUCUCCAAACAGCCAACUCAAGAAGUUUAGCACAAUUACUAGUGUUACCACUUCCACGUGAAAAUGGCUUCUCAGUGGUUCAGCGAUCCCUAUGUUCAUAGGUAUUCUUCCAAGCAUGUUGAUGUGGCAGCUAAUAAUGCAGUUUUUAGCAUAGACAUUGUUUGGGGUAAACACUAGUUCACAGACGCCCUCAUAAGGCCUAAUAUAGUCGUUGUACAGGGAUUUAGGAGAGACCUCUCCAAGAGUAUGGUGCAUAUGUUGAUUGCUUCAGAGGAGCUCAAGCUUAGCAUCUGUCAGCAUCAGAUAUUCGGCAUAGGUGGAUCAAAGCAAGAACCUUAGGACUCAGGUCUCAAAGUCAGCACGUGAUGCCACGAGAAAUGAUAAGCAACCAGUCUGAUUCUCUGGGCAAUCUUCUGUUUCUGCACAAAGUGCUACUCAGUUCAGAGGUAGCACUGAACCCUCACGUUGCGCUGGCACAAAUGAUAGUGGGGUGUUUGUGAUGACCACAAACUGGGACCUAAAUGUUAUAUAGCUAGUGGGAGGGUAGAAGAGGAGAUUCAGCAUAUCACUUGGAGGGACAGGACUGGGAAAAAUGAUCUUUCAGUACAGAAGUGACAGGGAGGAGGUGUCUAAUGAGCUUCUAGAAGGCUCAGUCUCCUCCUUCCUUUCUUGGUUAAGUUCUUAAGCUUACACAGAGGAGGGGGCAGAGCCUGCAUUUGGUAUUAUUUAGUCGUAUUUCUCUCAAUACAAAUGCAAAAGGGAAAGAAUAGUUGUUGCAAGAGGCUGUUCAGCUACAGAAAUAACUCGCCUCUGCCUGAUUCAUGAAGCUGAGAACUGAUCAGCUCAGUACACCUUCACCUACAUGCACUGAUCGUUUAUUUCACGCUCUUCUCAAAACUAGAUGUAUGAUACAGAAAGAAGGAAAAAGUAGUUCAGGUUUAAGCUCUUAUCACUAAAGUGAGUCUCCUUCUGCAUUAAAAAACUAUCCAGACAUUGUAACAGGAAUGGGUUCAGUUCUUAUGUCAUAAAUUUGUGUGUGUAGAAAAAAGACUUAUUGGUGAAUUUAGCAGUAUUUUUCGUUGAACUGGCAGUUGCUAACCAUUACACCAGUAUUUAUUUGAUUCUUAAAGAGCACAAAAGCAUGGACUACAAAUAAAGAAGAUGGAGUAAUAGCUUCUGACUGGACC
Struthio camelus australis is the source of this 2574-nucleotide long non-coding RNA. Lineage: Eukaryota; Metazoa; Chordata; Aves; Struthioniformes; Struthionidae. The record is from Ensembl.